GCCUUUAUGUUCAUAACGACGUCAUGCUUGCUUUUGGUACUCCAGAAAAGCAAAUCUUGAUCGAACCUAUAUUUGCUCAAUGGAUACAAUCGGCUCAUGGUAAGACGACAUAUGGGUUCGAUAUACUCUUAUCUUCAACGAGCGGUCCCGCUUUCAAUGCGGGUCGAACCCUAUGGUUACCCGGAUGGUUGAAUGCUGUUAACGAGAAUAGUAAUUCGCUUUUCUUAACAAUAGG
This 235-nucleotide unclassified non-coding RNA is filed under the name Hevea brasiliensis (rubber tree). The record is from RNAcentral. Lineage: Eukaryota; Viridiplantae; Streptophyta; Magnoliopsida; Malpighiales; Euphorbiaceae.